AUUGAACGCUGGCGGCAUGCCUUACACAUGCCAGUCGAACGGCAGCACGGGUGCUUGCCCCUGGUGGCGAGUGGCGAACGGGUGAGUAAUACAUCGGAACAUGUCCUGUAGUGGGGGAUAGCCCGGCGAAAGCCGGAUUAAUACCGCAUACGAUCUACGGAUGAAAGCGGGGGACCUUCGGGCCUCGCGCUAUAGGGUUGGCCGAUGGCUGAUUAGCUAGUUGGUGGGGUAAAGGCCUACCAAGGCGACGAUCAGUAGAUGGUCUGAGAGGACGACCAGCCACACUGGGACUGAGACACGGCCCAGACUCCUACGGGAGGCAGCAGUGGGGAAUUUUGGACAAUGGGCGAAAGCCUGAUCCAGCAAUGCCGCGUGUGUGAAGAAGGCCUUCGGGUUGUAAAGCACUUUUGUCCGGAAAGAAAUCCUUGGCUCUAAUACAGUCGGGGGAUGACGGUACCGGAAGAAUAAGCACCGGCUAACUACGUG
Molecule: ribosomal RNA, 486 nt
Filed under: uncultured bacterium
Lineage: Bacteria
Description: partial 16S ribosomal RNA
Rfam family: Bacterial small subunit ribosomal RNA
Source: RNAcentral